This 255-nucleotide ribosomal RNA is filed under the name Branchiostoma californiense (California lancelet). RNAcentral's name for it is "partial 16S ribosomal RNA". The record is from RNAcentral. Lineage: Eukaryota; Metazoa; Chordata; Leptocardii; Amphioxiformes; Branchiostomatidae.
GUGCAAAGGUAGCAUAAUCACUUGCCCUUUAAAUGGGGGAAUGUAUGAAUGAUUAGACGAGGUUUUGACUGUCUUUUUCCUAAAAAUUGAGAUUCCAGUGCCUGUGAAAAUGCGGGUAUAAUAAUAAUGGACGAGAAGACCCUGUUGAGCUUAAAGAUUAUACAUAAGCGGCUGUUCAGUUAAAUAAUUUAUUAUUACUAAAACAUGCGUUGGGUGGAAGAUCUUUUGGCUGGGGUGGCAAGCAAAGGAAUUAAG